This 1343-nucleotide ribosomal RNA is filed under the name uncultured bacterium. RNAcentral describes it as "16S ribosomal RNA". It matches the Rfam family "Bacterial small subunit ribosomal RNA", at positions 28 to 1378 of the family's 1533-position model. The record is from RNAcentral.
GACGAACGCUGGCGGCGUGCUUAACACAUGCAAGUCGAACGGAAAGGCCCUGCUUUUGUGGGGUGCUCGAGUGGCGAACGGGUGAGUAACACGUGAGUAACCUGCCCUUGACUUUGGGAUAACUUCAGGAAACUGGGGCUAAUACCGGAUAGGAGCUCCUGCUGCAUGGUGGGGGUUGGAAAGUUUCGGCGGUUGGGGAUGGACUCGCGGCUUAUCAGCUUGUUGGUGGGGUAGUGGCUUACCAAGGCUUUGACGGGUAGCCGGCCUGAGAGGGUGACCGGCCACAUUGGGACUGAGAUACGGCCCAGACUCCUACGGGAGGCAGCAGUGGGGAAUAUUGCACAAUGGGCGGAAGCCUGAUGCAGCAACGCCGCGUGCGGGAUGACGGCCUUCGGGUUGUAAACCGCUUUCGCCUGUGACGAAGCGUGAGUGACGGUAAUGGGUAAAGAAGCACCGGCUAACUACGUGCCAGCAGCCGCGGUGAUACGUAGGGUGCGAGCGUUGUCCGGAUUUAUUGGGCGUAAAGGGCUCGUAGGUGGUUGAUCGCGUCGGAAGUGUAAUCUUGGGGCUUAACCCUGAGCGUGCUUUCGAUACGGGUUGACUUGAGGAAGGUAGGGGAGAAUGGAAUUCCUGGUGGAGCGGUGGAAUGCGCAGAUAUCAGGAGGAACACCAGUGGCGAAGGCGGUUCUCUGGGCCUUUCCUGACGCUGAGGAGCGAAAGCGUGGGGAGCGAACAGGCUUAGAUACCCUGGUAGUCCACGCUGUAAACGGUGGGUACUAGGUGUGGGGUCCAUUCCACGGGUUCCGUGCCGUAGCUAACGCUUUAAGUACCCCGCCUGGGGAGUACGGCCGCAAGGCUAAAACUCAAAGGAAUUGACGGGGCCCCGCACAAGCGGCGGAGCAUGCGGAUUAAUUCGAUGCAACGCGUAGAACCUUACCUGGGUUUGACAUGGAUCGGGAGCGCUCAGAGAUGGGUGUGCCUCCUUUGGGGUCGGUUCACAGGUGGUGCAUGGCUGUCGUCAGCUCGUGUCGUGAGAUGUUGGGUUAAGUCCCGCAACGAGCGCAACCCUUGUUCACUGUUGCCAGCACGUUAUGGUGGGGACUCAGUGGAGACCGCCGGGGUCAACUCGGAGGAAGGUGGGGAUGACGUCAAGUCAUCAUGCCCCUUAUGUCCAGGGCUUCACGCAUGCUACAAUGGCUGGUACAGAGAGUGGCGAGCCUGUGAGGGUGAGCGAAUCUCGGAAAGCCGGUCUCAGUUCGGAUUGGGGUCUGCAACUCGACCUCAUGAAGUCGGAGUCGCUAGUAAUCGCAGAUCAGCAACGCUGCGGUGAAUACGUUCCCGGG